UACGUAGGGCGCAAGCGUUGUCCGGAAUUAUUGGGCGUAAAGAGCUCGUAGGCGGCUUGUCACGUCGGGUGUGAAAGCCCGGGGCUUAACCCCGGGUCUGCAUUCGAUACGGGCAGGCUAGAGUGUGGUAGGGGAGAUCGGAAUUCCUGGUGUAGCGGUGAAAUGCGCAGAUAUCAGGAGGAACACCGGUGGCGAAGGCGGUUCUCUGGGCCUUACCUGACGCUGAGGAGCGAAAGCGUGGGGAGCGAACAGG
Molecule: ribosomal RNA, 253 nt
Filed under: uncultured bacterium
Lineage: Bacteria
Description: partial 16S ribosomal RNA
Rfam family: Bacterial small subunit ribosomal RNA
Source: RNAcentral